RNAcentral lists this ribosomal RNA (785 nucleotides) under uncultured Actinomycetes bacterium. Its description in RNAcentral is "bacterial SSU rRNA". It matches the Rfam family "Bacterial small subunit ribosomal RNA", at positions 61 to 824 of the family's 1533-position model. The record is from RNAcentral. Lineage: Bacteria; Bacillati; Actinomycetota; Actinomycetes.
GUCGAACGCGAAAGCUCCCUUCGGGGAGCAAGUAGAGUGGCGCACGGGUGAGUAACACGUAGGUAAUCUACCUUUGGAUGGGGAAUAACAACCGGAAACGGUUGCUAAUACCGCAUAAUGCAGCGGCACCUAAUGGUGACAGUUGUUAAAGCGGGGGAUCGCAAGACCUCGCGUCUGAAGAGGAGCCUGCGGCAGAUUAGCUAGUUGGUAAGGUAACGGCUUACCAAGGCGAUGAUCUGUAGCCGGCCUGAGAGGGCGGUCGGCCACACUGACACUGACAUACGGGUCAGACUCCUACGGGAGGCAGCAGUCGGGAAUUUUGGGCAAUGGGCGAAAGCCUGACCCAGCAACGCCGCGUGAAGGAUGAAAUCCCUCGGGAUGUAAACUUCGCAAGAACGGGAAGAAUAAGUAAGGGUUAAUAUCUCUUACGAUGACGGUACUGUUUGUAAGCUCCGGCUAACUCCGUGCCAGCAGCCGCGGUAAUACGGGGGGAGCAGGCGUUGUUCGGAUUUACUGGGCGUAAAGGGCGCGUAGGCGGCCACCGCAAGUCGACUGUGAAAUCUCCGGGCUUAACCCGGAAAGGUCAGCCGAUACUGCGGGGCUAGAGUGCAGAAGGGGCAACUGGAAUUCUCGGUGUAGCGGUGAAAUGCGUAGAUAUCGAGAGGAACACCUGCGGCGAAGGCGGGUUGCUGGGCUGACACUGACGCUGAGGCGCGAAAGCUAGGGGAGCGAACGGGAUUAGAUACCCCGGUAGUCCUAGCCUUAAACGAUGAAUGCUUGGUGUC